This 378-nucleotide ribosomal RNA is filed under the name Harpagifer bispinis (Magellan plunderfish). RNAcentral's name for it is "partial 12S ribosomal RNA". It matches the Rfam family "Bacterial small subunit ribosomal RNA", at positions 794 to 1374 of the family's 1533-position model. Lineage: Eukaryota; Metazoa; Chordata; Actinopteri; Perciformes; Harpagiferidae. The record is from RNAcentral.
GCCUAGCCGUAAACAUUGAUAGACCAACACAACCCCUAUCCGCCCGGGAACUACAAGCACCAGCUUAAAACCCAAAGGACUUGGCGGUGCUUUAGAUCCUACUAGAGGAGCCUGUUCUAGAACCGAUAACCCCCGUUCAACCUCACCCUUCCUUGUUUCCCCCGCCUAUAUACCGCCGUCGUCAGCCCACCCUAUGAAGGUUUAAAAGUAGGCUCAAUUGGCACCGCCCAGAACGUCAGGCCGAGGUGUAGCGUAUGGAAGGGGAAGAAAUGGGCUACAUUCCCUAUCUUAGGGCACACGAAUGGUGUGCUGAAACGCACAUCUUGAAGGAGGAUUUAGCAGUAAGCGGGAAGUAGAGCGUCCUGCUGAAAUUGGCUC